GAUGAACGCUGGCGGCGUGCCUAAUACAUGCAAGUCGAGCGAACAGACGAGGAGCUUGCUCCUCUGACGUUAGCCGCGGACGGGUGAGUAACACGUGGAUACCCUACCUAUAAGACUGGGAUAACUUCGGGAAACCGGAGCUAAUACCGGAUAAUAUAUUGAACCGCGUGGGUCAAUAGUGAAAGACGGUUUUGCUGUCACUUAUAGAUGGAUCCGGGCGGCAUUAGCUAGUUGGUACGGUAACGGCUUACCAAGGCAACGAUGCGUAGCCGACCUGAGAGAGUGGUCGGCCACACUGGAAGUGGGCCAGGGUCCAGACUCCUACGGGAGGCAGCAGUAGGGAAUGUGCCGCAAUGGGCGAAAGCCUGACGGAGCAACGCCGCGUGAGUGAUGAAGGUCUUCGGAGCGUAAAACUCUGUUAUUAGGGAAGAACAAAUGUGUAAGUAACUAUGCACGUCUUGACGGUACCUAAUCAGAAAGCCACGGCUAACUACGUG
RNAcentral lists this ribosomal RNA (497 nucleotides) under uncultured bacterium. RNAcentral's name for it is "partial 16S ribosomal RNA". It matches the Rfam family "Bacterial small subunit ribosomal RNA", at positions 28 to 507 of the family's 1533-position model. The record is from RNAcentral.